CAGUCGCCGCGGUAAUACGUAGGGUGCAAGCGUUAAUCGGAAUUACUGGGCGUAAAGCGUGCGCAGGCGGUUAUAUAAGACAGAUGUGAAAUCUUCGGGCUCAACUCGAAGUCUGCAUCGAAAACUGCCGGGCUUGAGUAUGGGAGAGGUGAGUGGAAUUUCCGGUGUAGCGGUGAAAUGCGUAGAUAUCGGAAGGAACACCUGUGGCGAAAGCGGCUCACUGGACCAUAACUGACGCUGAUGCACGAAAGCUAGGGGAGCAAACAGGAUUAGAGACCCGAGUAGUCCCUGUCUCUUAUAA
RNAcentral lists this ribosomal RNA (301 nucleotides) under uncultured bacterium. RNAcentral describes it as "partial 16S ribosomal RNA". It matches the Rfam family "Bacterial small subunit ribosomal RNA", at positions 509 to 809 of the family's 1533-position model. The record is from RNAcentral.